Molecule: ribosomal RNA, 955 nt
Filed under: Pseudomonas sp. AMF3541
Lineage: Bacteria; Pseudomonadati; Pseudomonadota; Gammaproteobacteria; Pseudomonadales; Pseudomonadaceae
Description: bacterial SSU rRNA
Rfam family: Bacterial small subunit ribosomal RNA
Source: RNAcentral
AGCUACACAUGCAGUCGAGCGGUAGAGAGAAGCUUGCUUCUCUUGAGAGCGGCGGACGGGUGAGUAAUGCCUAGGAAUCUGCCUGGUAGUGGGGGAUAACGUCCGGAAACGGACGCUAAUACCGCAUACGUCCUACGGGAGAAAGCAGGGGACCUUCGGGCCUUGCGCUAUCAGAUGAGCCUAGGUCGGAUUAGCUAGUUGGUGGGGUAAUGGCUCACCAAGGCGACGAUCCGUAACUGGUCUGAGAGGAUGAUCAGUCACACUGGAACUGAGACACGGUCCAGACUCCUACGGGAGGCAGCAGUGGGGAAUAUUGGACAAUGGGCGAAAGCCUGAUCCAGCCAUGCCGCGUGUGUGAAGAAGGUCUUCGGAUUGUAAAGCACUUUAAGUUGGGAGGAAGGGCAGUAAAUUAAUACUUUGCUGUUUUGACGUUACCGACAGAAUAAGCACCGGCUAACUCUGUGCCAGCAGCCGCGGUAAUACAGAGGGUGCAAGCGUUAAUCGGAAUUACUGGGCGUAAAGCGCGCGUAGGUGGUUCGUUAAGUUGGAUGUGAAAUCCCCGGGCUCAACCUGGGAACUGCAUUCAAAACUGACGAGCUAGAGUAUGGUAGAGGGUGGUGGAAUUUCCUGUGUAGCGGUGAAUGCGUAGAUAUAGGAAGGAACACCAGUGGCGAAGGCGACCACCUGGACUGAUACUGACACUGAGGUGCGAAGGCGUGGGGAGCAAACAGGAUUAGAUACCCUGGUAGUCCACGCCGUAAACGAAUGUUCAACUAGCCGUUGGGAGCCUUGGCUCUCUUAGUGGCCGCAGCUAACGCAUUAAGUUGACCGCCUGGGGAGUACGGCCGCAAGGUUAAAACCCUCAAAUGAAUUGACGGGGCCCGCACAAGCGGUGGACCAUGUGGUUUAAUUCGAAGCAACGCGAAGAACCUUACCAGGCCUUGACAUCCAAUGA